This 253-nucleotide ribosomal RNA is filed under the name uncultured microorganism. RNAcentral describes it as "partial 16S ribosomal RNA". It matches the Rfam family "Bacterial small subunit ribosomal RNA", at positions 524 to 776 of the family's 1533-position model. The record is from RNAcentral.
UACGGAGGGUGCAAGCGUUAAUCGGAAUUACUGGGCGUAAAGCGAGCGUAGGUGGCUUGAUAAGUCAGAUGUGAAAUCCCCGGGCUUAACCUGGGAACUGCAUCUGAUACUGUCAGGCUAGAGUAGGUGAGAGGAAGGUAGAAUUCCAGGUGUAGCGGUGAAAUGCGUAGAGAUCUGGAGGAAUACCGAUGGCGAAGGCAGCCUUCUGGCAUCAUACUGACACUGAGGCUCGAAAGCGUGGGUAGCAAACAGG